CCUACGGGAGGCAGCAGUGAGGAAUAUUGGUCAAUGGACGAGAGUCUGAACCAGCCAAGUAGCGUGAAGGAUGACUGCCCUAUGGGUUGUAAACUUCUUUUAUAUGGGAAUAAAAUGUUCCACGUGUGGGAUUUUGUAUGUACCAUAUGAAUAAGGAUCGGCUAACUCCGUGCCAGCAGCCGCGGUAAUACGGAGGAUCCGAGCGUUAUCCGGAUUUAGUGGGUUUAAAGGGAGCGUAGGUGGAUUGUUAAGGCUGUUGUGAAAGUUUGCGGCUCAACCGUAAAAUUGCAGUUGAAACUGGCAGUCUUGAGUACAGUAGAGGUGGGCGGAAUUCGUGGUGUAGCGGUGAAAUGCUGAGAUAUCACGAAGAACUCCGAUUGCGAAGGCAGCUCACUGGACUGCAACUGACACUGAGGCUCGAAAGUGUGGGUAUCAAACAGGAUUAGAUACCCCAGUAGUC
This 460-nucleotide ribosomal RNA is filed under the name uncultured bacterium. Its description in RNAcentral is "partial 16S ribosomal RNA". It matches the Rfam family "Bacterial small subunit ribosomal RNA", at positions 338 to 795 of the family's 1533-position model. The record is from RNAcentral.